RNAcentral lists this ribosomal RNA (468 nucleotides) under uncultured bacterium. RNAcentral's name for it is "partial 16S ribosomal RNA". It matches the Rfam family "Bacterial small subunit ribosomal RNA", at positions 28 to 507 of the family's 1533-position model. The record is from RNAcentral.
GACGAACGCUGGCGGCGUGCUUAACACAUGCAAGUCGAACGGAAAGGCCCUGCUUUUGUGGGGUGCUCGAGUGGCGAACGGGUGAGUAACACGUGAGUAACCUGCCCUUGACUUUGGGAUAACUUCAGGAAACUGGGGCUAAUACCGGAUAGGAGCUCCUGCUGCAUGGUGGGGGUUGGAAAGUUUCGGCGGUUGGGGAUGGACUCGCGGCUUAUCAGCUUGUUGGUGGGGUAGUGGCUUACCAAGGCUUUGACGGGUAGCCGGCCUGAGAGGGUGACCGGCCACAUUGGGACUGAGAUACGGCCCAGACUCCUACGGGAGGCGGCAGUGGGGAAUAUUGCACAAUGGGCGGAAGCCUGAUGCAGCAACGCCGCGUGCGGGAUGACGGCCUUCGGGUUGUAAACCGCUUUCGCCUGUGACGAAGCGUGAGUGACGGUAAUGGGUAAAGAAGCAACGGCUAACUACGUG